GGGUCGGUGGCAGAGUGGUCAAUUGCACCAGACUGUAAAUCUGGCGGGUUAGCUCCCUACGGAGGUUCAAAUCCUCCCCGGCCCA
RNAcentral lists this transfer RNA (85 nucleotides) under Chloroflexota bacterium. RNAcentral's name for it is "tRNA-Tyr". It matches the Rfam family "tRNA". Rfam says of the family: Transfer RNA (tRNA) molecules are approximately 80 nucleotides in length. Their secondary structure includes four short double-helical elements and three loops (D, anti-codon, and T loops). The record is from RNAcentral. Lineage: Bacteria; Bacillati; Chloroflexota.